RNAcentral lists this ribosomal RNA (253 nucleotides) under uncultured bacterium. Its description in RNAcentral is "partial 16S ribosomal RNA". It matches the Rfam family "Bacterial small subunit ribosomal RNA", at positions 524 to 776 of the family's 1533-position model. The record is from RNAcentral.
UACGGGGGGGGCAAGCGUUGUUCGGAAUUACUGGGCGUAAAGGGCUCGUAGGUGGCCAACUAAGUCAGACGUGAAAUCCCUCGGCUUAACCGGGGAACUGCGUCUGAUACUGGAUGGCUUGAGUUCGGGAGAGGGAUGCGGAAUUCCAGGUGUAGCGGUGAAAUGCGUAGAUAUCGGGAGGAACACCAGUGGCGAAGGCGGUUAGCUGGCCUGUAACUGACACUGAGGCGCGAAGGCUAGGGGAGCGAACAGG